Long non-coding RNA from Marmota monax (woodchuck), 1293 nucleotides. RefSeq lists it as uncharacterized. The transcript has 5 exons. The record is from RefSeq and is a predicted model, not a curated record. Lineage: Eukaryota; Metazoa; Chordata; Mammalia; Rodentia; Sciuridae.
ACAUGUGGUCUUUGUUUUAAGGUGAGAAUACAUGGAUAAUAAUUGCACUUGCAAAGAAAUGCAGCAGCCGCAGCCGCUGGCCAGCAGUCCUGAGCACAUGGCUCUUUGCAUUGAUUCUUGCUGCUGUUACCGACGCCUGACUCCAGUGUCCUAACUCCGUUAGAGGACUGAUUUGAUGCUGCUGACCACAGCUGUUGAAGAAAGCAAGCCAACCCUCCUGUGGGAGUUGCAUCCCAGGUGGGACUGUGCUUCUGGUGAAGAAGACGAGGCAUUGAAGAAUCACUGGACUAGAGCUGUGGAAAUCUCAGAGAGAAAGAUCUGAGCAAAGGAAAUAUCCGCUUCUGUGGGUGACACAACGUUGACAGCUAAGGGCAGCCGGCCGACUCAACGAGAUGAAGUCUAACCGGAGCUAAUGUUCAGCCUGGUGCUUUCCUUGAGACGGCUCAGCGGCGAAGCACAAGACCCAGGAGACGUGGCAUGAGCUGGGUUGACGAUCAGUGUCCUCCAGGCCUAAGUCUUCAGACGAAGCACCACACUUUAAAGAGAUGAUGGCAAAUGAAGCAAUGAAGUAUAUCCUGGGGAGAAAGGGCUGGAAGACUGGAGGGUGUUGCAAAGAGAACACUCGGGAGAGAAGGAGCAUGCUGGAUGCACAAAAUCCUCGCCAAGUUGCCAGCCCUCAGCAGGUUUCUCUCUCCUCUGCUUCACGUUGGAGUAUAAAUCCCAGGAGAACCGAGAACUUGUUCUGUUCACCGCUGAAUCUUGAGUGCUGAAACAUUUGUGGGUCGUGGUGAGUGCUCAGUACUGUUUGUUGAGUAAAGAAAGUGACUGCUAAGCCUUCUUGGAGUACUGAGGCUCUGACUGGAAGGUGUGGUAUCAGCUCUUCCUUUGGUUCUUCAAUGCUGCAUGACGAAUGCCAACUUCCUAUUGUCUGCUGUGAUUCUGUGGGCAACCGGGGCUCAGCUGGUGGUUCUCCUUUGGGAUCUCUAAUACAGGUGCCGCCUUCAUGACUAGAGCUGGAAUCUCUAAUGGCUCAACUCUGCUGGACAUCCAAGAUGGCGCACUUGCAUGGCUGGUGGUUAGUACUGGUUGUUAGCUGGGAGCUCAGCUGGGGGCUGUUGACCAGAGUGUCCAUAUGUGGCCUCUCCAGAUGCCUUAGGCUUAUCAUGGACAGGUUGCAAGAUGUUGUAUGGGACAGGAAACGGAAGCUUCUGAAGUGCUGAGCCUGGAAACGAGGAAGUGUCCUUAUAUCACAAUUGAUUGGUUAAGCAGCCAUGGAGCCCAACUAGAUGCAAG